Molecule: ribosomal RNA, 503 nt
Filed under: Sticta sp.
Lineage: Eukaryota; Fungi; Ascomycota; Lecanoromycetes; Peltigerales; Lobariaceae
Description: eukaryotic LSU rRNA
Rfam family: Eukaryotic large subunit ribosomal RNA
Source: RNAcentral
GCUCAAAUUUGAAAUCUGGCCUCUUCGGGGUCCGAGUUGUAAUUUGUAGAGGGUGUUUCGGGCGCGAUGCCGGUCUAAGUUCCUUGGAACAGGACGUCGCAGAGGGUGAGAAUCCCGUAUGCGACCGGCGAUCAAGUCUGUGUGAAACCCCUUCGACGAGUCGAGUUGUUUGGGAAUGCAGCUCAAAAUGGGUGGUAAAUUUCAUCUAAAGCUAAAUAUUGGCCAGAGACCGAUAGCGGACAAGUAGAGUGAUCGAAAGAUGAAAAGCACUUUGGAAAGAGAGUCAAACAGUACGUGAAAUUGUUGAAAGGGAAGCGCUUGCAAUCAGACCGGUCCGGAGGCGAUCAGCCGUCUGCUCGUUCAGCGGUGCACUCGCCUGCGAUCCGGCCAGCAUCGGUUUGGGCGGUGGGAUAAAAGUCCCGGGAAUGUAGCUUCUCUUGGGGAGUCUUAUAGCCCGGGUCGCAAUGCCGCCCGCCUGGACCGAGGACCGCGCUCGGCUAGGA